RNAcentral lists this transfer-messenger RNA (397 nucleotides) under chicken gut metagenome. It matches the Rfam family "transfer-messenger RNA". Rfam says of the family: Bacterial tmRNA, also known as 10Sa RNA or SsrA, is named for its dual tRNA and mRNA-like properties. Its role is to liberate the mRNA from a stalled ribosome. To accomplish this part of the tmRNA is used as a reading frame that ends in a translation stop signal. The record is from RNAcentral.
GGGGACGUUUUGGUCUUGACAGGGCGGUUCGCAUAAUCAGGCUGCGAGUCGGAGUGCUGUUCUCCGUUACAAACAAGCAAAAAACAAUAAAUGGCAAAUCUAAUGUCAUCAAUGCCGAAUUCGCUUUUGCUCCGGCAAUGGCUGCUUAAUCGAACUUAAGCAUCGGCCACUGAAUAAUCCCUGCCGGUCGGAUUAUUCGGUCAACCAUACCGGCUGCGUGCGUUCUAUGAGAGUAUGUGCGCAUUAAGCUUUCUCUCAAGCCGGGCACGGUUAAAUUGCUCAGCCCAUAGUUAGGAGUCGGUUGUAUCCGUCUUUGGGUGAAAUCAAUUUAUAACCUACGCUCGUAGACGUCUAAUUAUGUCCGUUUUGGACGCGGGUUCGAUUCCCGCCGUCUCCA